RNAcentral lists this ribosomal RNA (861 nucleotides) under Yersinia sp. (in: enterobacteria). RNAcentral's name for it is "bacterial SSU rRNA". It matches the Rfam family "Bacterial small subunit ribosomal RNA", at positions 24 to 873 of the family's 1533-position model. Lineage: Bacteria; Pseudomonadati; Pseudomonadota; Gammaproteobacteria; Enterobacterales; Yersiniaceae. The record is from RNAcentral.
GUAGAUGACGCUGGCGGCAGGCCUAACACAUGCAAGUCGAGCGGCAGCGGAAAGUAGCUUGCUACUUUGCCGGCGAGCGGCGGACGGGUGAGUAAUGUCUGGGGAUCUGCCCGAUGGAGGGGGAUAACUACUGGAAACGGUAGCUAAUACCGCAUAACGUCGCAAGACCAAAGUGGGGGACCUUCGGGCCUCACACCAUCGGAUGAACCCAGAUGGGAUUAGCUAGUAGGUGGGGUAACGGCUCACCUAGGCGACGAUCCCUAGCUGGUCUGAGAGGAUGACCAGCCACACUGGAACUGAGACACGGUCCAGACUCCUACGGGAGGCAGCAGUGGGGAAUAUUGCACAAUGGGCGCAAGCCUGAUGCAGCCAUGCCGCGUGUGUGAAGAAGGCCUUCGGGUUGUAAAGCACUUUCAGCGGGGAGGAAGGAGUGAGUGUUAAUAGCACUCAUUAUUGACGUUACCCGCAGAAGAAGCACCGGCUAACUCCGUGCCAGCAGCCGCGGUAAUACGGAGGGUGCGAGCGUUAAUCGGAAUUACUGGGCGUAAAGCGUACGCAGGCGGUUUGUUAAGUCAGAUGUGAAAUCCCCGAGCUUAACUCGGGAACUGCAUUUGAAACUGGCAGGCUAGAGUCUCGUAGAGGGGGGUAGAAUUCCAGGUGUAGCGGUGAAAUGCGUAGAGAUCUGGAGGAAUACCGGUGGCGAAGGCGGCCCCCUGGACGAAGACUGACGCUCAGGUACGAAAGCGUGGGGAGCAAACAGGAUUAGAUACCCUGGUAGUCCACGCUGUAAACGAUGUCGAUUUGAAGGUUGUGGCCUUGAGCCGUGGCUUUCGGAGCUAACGCGUUAAAUCGACCGCCGAG